AUGUAACGCCAUGGGGUAGGAAGCUCGGAAAGUUCUCCUAGCAUGGAAUCUUGCUGGAACUUGUGUGAAAGUUUCCUUCCUGGUGCUAAUCUUCAUAUACCCAGAAAGUGCCAUGCAAGCUUCUAGAGAAUUGUCAGUGAAAGUGUUGCCCAGCUGUGGACACUAAAUGCAAGAAAACUGACCAACUGGACACGGUGAGCCAACAGGUGCAGCAGAGGCAAGUUUGUGGGAAGGUAACUAACCACUCUCUGGUUGGGUUUAGUGCAUUCUGUGGGAGGGAAUUCACAUCUGGAACUGUAAAGCAAGCUGCAAAUCCAAGGCCAAGGAGGGCAUAGGCCCUGGUGAAGAAGCCAUUGCUGUUGUUUUCCUAAAUGAACAAGAUGUGCCCAUCGGCCUGCCUUCAAAGUGACCGUUUGUGUCCAGAGAGUAGUGCUGUGGUCACGUUUCGCCAGAGGAACUCCUUUCUGCAGAAGUCAGCAGUGACUACAGAGACUCACGGCUGACCAAAGAACUGAGAACAGAUAACUGUGGAGCACCCAGCCGUCAGAGGGACCUCUGUAAACAAGACUCAGGAAACAUCUUGGAAGAAGGGGACAAAAAGAAGGUGCUGGAAAACAAAGUCCAGAGCAGACCUGAUUGGAUCCCUCCAGAUCCCAUCUAUGAUGCCUGAUCCUGGUUGUCAAGGUGACACUCCUGGCAAGAGGGAACCUCAACUGAGGAAUGGCCACCAUCAGAUUAGCCUGUGGGCAUGCCUGAGGGGUAUCUUCUUGAUUGCUAAUUGAUGUGAGGGGGCUGGCCCACCAUGGGUAGUGCCAUCCCUGGGCAGGUAGGACUGAGCCAUAUACUAUAGGUAGCAGAGCAAGCUAGGAGCGGCAAGCCACUCAGUGUUCGGCAGUGGUCUCUGAUUCAGUUCCUGCCCCCCCACCCACGCCCCACCCCCCCACCCCACCCCGCCCCCCAAGUUCCUGUCUGGAGUUCCUACUUUCAAUUCACUUGAUGACAGACUGUAACCUGUGAGCCCAAUAAACCCUUUCCUCCACAAA
This is a long non-coding RNA of Mesocricetus auratus (golden hamster), 1043 nucleotides long. RefSeq lists it as uncharacterized. The record is from RefSeq and is a predicted model, not a curated record. Lineage: Eukaryota; Metazoa; Chordata; Mammalia; Rodentia; Cricetidae. The transcript has 3 exons.